Long non-coding RNA from Zingiber officinale, 796 nucleotides. RefSeq lists it as uncharacterized. The transcript is spliced from 3 exons. NCBI's taxonomy places the organism in Eukaryota, Viridiplantae, Streptophyta, Magnoliopsida, Zingiberales, Zingiberaceae. The record is from RefSeq and is a predicted model, not a curated record.
GUAUGCCACUUUUUCCAAAUUUAAUAGCACAUGGUAAAGUCCUAUCUUGUGAUCAAGGUUCACAAAGCAUAUACAGAGGCAUAAAGUCAUGCAGACAAAGACUGAAUAUUGUUAGUAAAGUGCAUAAACUCUCAAGUAUUUGGAUUAAUUAGAGUUGAAGAUGUAAGGGGUGGAGGGAAAAAGGAAAUCUUUGUUAGUAUUAAUGAUAAGUCGCCAUGAUGAUUACCAUUGUUAUUGCUAAAUUUGUUGAUCUCCUAUGUUUAACUCAUACCUCAAGUAUGUAAUUAAAUGGUUUAAUUUCAUACUUUUUCGUAUUGUUGUGCAUACGUAGGAUUUUGUUUCUCUGCAGGGAGUUAGAUGAGUGGUUUAUAGACACCUAGUUGCAUCUCUUAUUUUCCUCUACAUGUAUGCACAUUUUUUGACAUCGGUUGGCAAUUCAUGUGUAUUUAUCUUUAUUUUAACAUACUUCUAACUUUUAACUAUGACCAGUGCUUCUUGAAUUAUCUUUGAAGGUUUGGAAUCUUCAACCCAGCAGUCGUGUAUGAUCACCUGGGAGAAAUUUAUUCAGCACUUAUUCUGGGAAGCUUAGUGUUCUGCAUUUUGUUAUACUUGAAAGGUCAUUUGGCACCAUCUUCUUUGGAUUCUGGUUCAUUAGGGAACUUCAUAAUUGAUUUUUAUUGGGGCAUGGAACUGUAUCCUCGUAUCGGCAAAAACUUUGACAUCAAGGUUUUUACAAACUGCCGAUUUGGUAUGAUGUCCUGGGCUGUUCUUGCCGUCACAUAUUGCAUCAAACAGG